AGCCAGCAGCAGUCCUGGGUUCCUGAUGCUGCCAUGGGCUCCAGGCUCCUCUGCUGUGUGACUCUCUGCCUCCUGGGAGCAGGCCUGGUGGAUUCUGGGGUCACCCAGACCCCCAAAUACCUGAUCAGAUCAAGAAAGCAGCAAGUGAUUCUGAGAUGUUCCCCUGAGUCUGGACACCGCUAUGUAUCCUGGUACCAACAGGCCCUGGGCCAGGGCCCCCGGUUCCUUGUUCAGUAUUAUGAUGGGAAAGUGCGUACCAAAGGAAACAUGCCAGAUCGAUUCUCAGGUGUACAGUUCAGUGACUCUCGCUCUCAGAUGAACCCGAGCUCCUUGGAGCUGACAGACUCAGCCGUGUAUCUCUGUGCCAGCAGGCAAGACACAGCCUUGCGUGAUCAGGCAGCUGGGCCUUCCACCACGGAGAAAGGAGAUGUGCCCAACGGGUACAGUGUCUCCGGAUCAAGCACAGAGAACUUCCCUCUCACGCUGGAGUCUGCCAACUGCCCCCAGACAUCUGUGUACUUCUGCGCCAGCAGUUACUCCACGGCCCUGCAUGGCCGCCUCCUCUCUGGGCAAUAG
Budorcas taxicolor (takin) is the source of this 576-nucleotide non-coding RNA. The record is from the annotation of a RefSeq genome assembly. Lineage: Eukaryota; Metazoa; Chordata; Mammalia; Artiodactyla; Bovidae.